Molecule: ribosomal RNA, 392 nt
Filed under: Bacillus altitudinis
Lineage: Bacteria; Bacillati; Bacillota; Bacilli; Caryophanales; Bacillaceae
Description: bacterial SSU rRNA
Rfam family: Bacterial small subunit ribosomal RNA
Source: RNAcentral
UGAGUAACACGUGGGUAACCUGCCUGUAAGACUGGGAUAACUCCGGGAAACCGGAGCUAAUACCGGAUAGUUCCUUGAACCGCAUGGUUCAAGGAUGAAAGACGGUUUCGGCUGUCACUUACAGAUGGACCCGCGGCGCAUUAGCUAGUUGGUGAGGUAACGGCUCACCAAGGCGACGAUGCGUAGCCGACCUGAGAGGGUGAUCGGCCACACUGGGACUGAGACACGGCCCAGACUCCUACGGGAGGCAGCAGUAGGGAAUCUUCCGCAAUGGACGAAAGUCUGACGGAGCAACGCCGCGUGAGUGAUGAAGGUUUUCGGAUCGUAAAGCUCUGUUGUUAGGGAAGAACAAGUGCAAGAGUAACUGCUUGCACCUUGACGGUACCUAACCA